Molecule: ribosomal RNA, 464 nt
Filed under: uncultured Cytophagaceae bacterium
Lineage: Bacteria; Pseudomonadati; Bacteroidota; Cytophagia; Cytophagales; Cytophagaceae
Description: bacterial SSU rRNA
Rfam family: Bacterial small subunit ribosomal RNA
Source: RNAcentral
UUCCUACGGGGGGCUGCAGUAGGGAAUAUUGGUCAAUGGGUGGAAGCCUGAACCAGCCAUGCCGCGUGCAGGAAGACGGCCUUCUGGGUUGUAAACUGCUUUUAUCUGGGGAUAAAAUUCCCUUGCGAGGGAGACUGAAGGUACCAGAUGAAUAAGCCACGGCUAACUACGUGCCAGCAGCCGCGGUAAUACGUAGGUGGCAAGCGUUGUCCGGAUUCAUUGGGUUUAAAGGGUGCGUAGGCGGCCAUUUAAGUCAGUGCUGAAAUAUCACAGCUGAACUGUGAGGGUGGCAUUGAUACUGGGUGGCUUGAGUGCUAGCGAGGCAGGCGGAAUUGACGGUGUAGCGGUGAAAUGCUUAGAUAUCGUCAAGAACACCGAUAGUGUAGACAGCUUGCCAGGGAGCAACUGACGCUGAGGCACGAAAGUGUGGGGAUCAAACAGGAUUAGAUACCCCGGUAGUCGGA